CACGUUGCACAAGCCCAGCGCACGGUACCCACUGGAUAUGCCCGAGGCCUCCAGAGGAAAGGAAAGGAGGAAAAGGGACAGAAGAAAUGUUCACAGGAACUGCAUAUGGGCCUGCUACUUGUGUCAAAAUGUGACUGAACUCUCUUCCAGCAGGCUAUUUCACUGAACUGAAGCAGUCAAAAGAGAAUGCUCAUGAGAUCCCAUCACCACCACUUUACCGAACUACUUCCAUAUCUUACUCUGAGGGAGGUCUGAAUGCCAUAUUGUGAGCGGCCCUGCUGAAAGACCCAUGUGGCAAGGAUCUGAGAUCAUUGGCCAACAGGCUGCAAAGAGUCCUACCAACAGCCAGGCUGGUGUUCUUGGAAGUGGAUCUUCUCCUACUCUCCUACUUGAGAUGACUGCAGCCCCAGCUAACACUUCGAUUGCAGCCUUGUUAAGAUAUCACGGGCCAGACACACCCAGCUAAGUUAUGCCUGAGUUACUAGCCCACAGAAAUGAUAAGAUAAUAAAUAUUUGCUGUUUUAA
Molecule: long non-coding RNA, 525 nt
Filed under: Homo sapiens (human)
Lineage: Eukaryota; Metazoa; Chordata; Mammalia; Primates; Hominidae
Description: novel transcript
Source: RNAcentral